RNAcentral lists this small RNA (234 nucleotides) under Notechis scutatus (mainland tiger snake). RNAcentral's name for it is "7SK RNA (ENSNSUG00000000349.1)". The stretch from base 1 to 183 matches the Rfam family "7SK RNA". From Rfam's summary of the family: 7SK was discovered as an abundant small nuclear RNA in the mid-70s but a possible function has only recently been suggested. Two independent studies have found that 7SK RNA binds the CDK9/cyclin T complex (known as elongation factor P-TEFb). Lineage: Eukaryota; Metazoa; Chordata; Lepidosauria; Squamata; Elapidae. The record is from RNAcentral.
GCAUAUGAGGAUGUUCUGUUUGCAGCAUCUGUUACUCCAUAGACUAGCAGGAGUCAUCUGAUGUGGCUGGCUAGACAUGUGUUCCUUUGUUCCUUCAUCAUUCUAUGUCUCUCCUUCCUAAACUGUGAGUUUGUUGGAAGAUGAUGAUCAUCCCAUGGUAUAUAGAAACCUACUCUUCUUAUGCAUCUGAAUAUUGUAGGAAUUUGCUUAAAUUGUGUAAUUCUUAAUUCUGAU